UUAGCAAUCCGUGUUCCCCUAAGGGUUUCUAUCCACUGCGGCUGGUUUAGUUGGCGAUUUUGAUACUAGAUGGCUUUAGUUUUUUGUUAGUAUUUUUGUCACACUAGAUGGCUUUAGCGAUUGUUUUCACACUAGGUGGCUAAAGCUAAUGAAGUUUUCACACUAGGUGGCUAAUCAAGCCAAUCAAUCAAGACAAAUACAAAAAUUCUUUUUAUGUUGAAGGAUGCGUGUAUAAAUGCAAAAAAGUUCACUUCGAUUUUGGAAUGAUAGUUUGAAUAGAAUCACUGUGUGCUGUGUAUUUGCUAGUGAUAAUCGACUUCCAUUUUGAAGCGACUGUUAGCAGUUUAGCCCAUGCGCCAUGGUCUAAAUGGUCUAAAUGGUGUCAAAUAAGUCAAGGAGGAAGGAAACCUAUAAAGAUACAACAAGGGAACCUAUCAUAGAUGAUGGAAGGAAGGGAACCUCUACAGAUACAAUGAGGGAACCUAUUAGAUGAUGGAUUACUGAAAUCAUUGCAAAUUCGCACGUAUGGUCGAAAAAUUCCAAUCAUCCAUCCAAAAGUUAUUCCAAUUAGAUUACCCACAGAUGACAGAAUGCAAUUCGCCAAUUAAUUCACUUCUCUAAAGAAAGAAAAGAAAAAAAAUCACAGUGUUAAUGGCUUACUGCUGGAACCGGUUGAACUUCGCACGUAUAGUCGAAAGACACAAUCAACAAGUCACCCACAAUUUAUUCCAAUUAGGUUUACUCGAACCACUUCAACUUCGAACGUAUGGUCGUGAAACACAAUCAACAAUUCACUCAAAAAUUAUUCCAACUAGACUACCGUCAGAAUGUGAUGUGUCAACGAAUUCCAUUGAUUACGAUCCAAGUUUACCCUUUGAACGACAGGGGAAAACCAACGAAGUUAAAAGAAAACUACAUCAUGGUGUUACCGUUUACGUGUCAAUAACAUUGCGUGUUUUUAUGACUCACAAUAACAUGGAUCCUAAAGAUUGAUUUUCCCAAUUCACUAAAAAGAAAUUUGAAAACAAGAAAUCAAUCUUCAAAAAGAAUAUAGAACAAUCGUCUUAAUUCAAUAAACAAGAUAAACCUAUCCCCAUUACUUACUGACUUUCUUCAUUUUAA
This 1122-nucleotide long non-coding RNA is filed under the name Daphnia pulex (common water flea). Its description in RNAcentral is "uncharacterized LOC124199469, transcript variant X2". Lineage: Eukaryota; Metazoa; Arthropoda; Branchiopoda; Diplostraca; Daphniidae. The record is from RNAcentral.